Molecule: ribosomal RNA, 349 nt
Filed under: Galeommatoidea sp. MN7631
Lineage: Eukaryota; Metazoa; Mollusca; Bivalvia; Galeommatida
Description: partial 16S ribosomal RNA
Rfam family: Archaeal large subunit ribosomal RNA
Source: RNAcentral
CCCGGUGAUUCGUUUAACGGCCGCAAUUAGUAGUUGUGCUAAGGUAGCGUAGUAAGUUGCCCUUUAAAUGAGGGAAGGAAUGAAUGGUUUGACGUAGGAAGAACUGUCUCUUUUUUAUAUGAUGAAUUUUUUUUUCUGGUGAAAAGGCUAGAUAAUUUUAAUUAGACGAGAAGACCCUAUCGAGCUUAAUAAGGGGGAUAAAUUGUUUUUCUUAUAAAUUUAGUUGGGGCAACAGGAGAACAGGAAGAGAUUCUCCUUAAGGGUAAAGAUCCAAAAUUUUUGAUUGAAGGAAAAAGCUACCGUAGGGAUAACAGCGUUAUCUUCUCUGAGAGAACAAAUUGAAGGGAAG